RNAcentral lists this ribosomal RNA (253 nucleotides) under uncultured bacterium. RNAcentral's name for it is "partial 16S ribosomal RNA". It matches the Rfam family "Bacterial small subunit ribosomal RNA", at positions 524 to 776 of the family's 1533-position model. The record is from RNAcentral.
GACGAACCGUGCGAACGUUGUUCGGAAUCACUGGGCUUAAAGGGCGCGUAGGCGGCUUCGCAAGUCAGGGGUGAAAUCUUUCGGCCCAACCGGAAAAGUGCCUCUGAUACUGCGGAGCUCGAGGGAGGUAGGGGCAGACGGAACUUCCGGUGGAGCGGUGAAAUGCGUUGAUAUCGGAAGGAACGCCGGUGGCGAAAGCGGUCUGCUGGCCCUCCACUGACGCUGAGGCGCGAAAGCCAGGGGAGCAAACGGG